RNAcentral lists this ribosomal RNA (256 nucleotides) under uncultured bacterium. Its description in RNAcentral is "partial 16S ribosomal RNA". It matches the Rfam family "Bacterial small subunit ribosomal RNA", at positions 524 to 776 of the family's 1533-position model. The record is from RNAcentral.
UACGGGGGGGAGCAAGCGUUGUUCGGAUUUACUGGGCGUAAAGGGCGCGUAGGCGGCGUGACAAGUCACUUGUGAAAUCUCCGGGCUUAACUCGGAACGGUCAAGUGAUACUGUCGUGCUAGAGUACAGAAGGGGCAACUGGAAUUCUCGGUGUAGCGGUGAAAUGCGUAGAUAUCGAGAGGAACACCUGCGGCGAAGGCGGGGUUGCUGGGCUGAUACUGACGCUGAGGAGCGAAAGUGUGGGGGAGCGAACAGG